Molecule: ribosomal RNA, 443 nt
Filed under: uncultured bacterium
Lineage: Bacteria
Description: bacterial SSU rRNA
Rfam family: Bacterial small subunit ribosomal RNA
Source: RNAcentral
AACGCGAAGAACCUUACCUGGGCUCGAACGGCUUCGGAAAGCCGGUGGAAACACUGGUUCUCCCGCAAGGGAUCGGAGUCGAGGUGCUGCAUGGCUGUCGUCAGCUCGUGUCGUGAGAUGUUGGGUUAAGUCCCGCAACGAGCGCAACCCUUGUCCUGUGUUGGCAUGCCGAAAGGCGCAACUCUCAGGAGACCGCCAGCGAUAAGUUGGAGGAAGGUGGGGAUGACGUCAAGUCAUCAUGGCCUUUAUGUCCAGGGCUACACACGUGCUACAAUGGCCGGUAUAAACCGCUGCAAACCCGCGAGGGGGAGCUAAUCGGAAAAAGCCGGCCUCAGUUCGGAUCGCAGUCUGCAACUCGACUGCGUGAAGCUGGAAUCGCUAGUAAUCGCAGAUCAGAAUGCUGCGGUGAAUACGUUCCCGGGCCUUGUACACACCGACUGUAC